This 252-nucleotide ribosomal RNA is filed under the name uncultured bacterium. RNAcentral's name for it is "partial 16S ribosomal RNA". It matches the Rfam family "Bacterial small subunit ribosomal RNA", at positions 524 to 776 of the family's 1533-position model. The record is from RNAcentral.
UACGGAGGAUGCGAGCGUUAUCCGGAUUUAUUGGGUUUAAAGGGUGCGUAGGCGGACUGUCAAGUCAGCGGUAAAAUUGAGAGGCUCAACCUCUUCCCGCCGUUGAAACUGGUGGUCUUGAGUGGAUGAGAAGUACGCGGAAUGCGUGGUGUAGCGGUGAGAUGCAUAGAUAUCACGCAGAACUCCGAUUGCGAAGGCAGCGUACCGGCAUCCAACUGACGCUGAGGCACGAAAGCGUGGGGAUCAAGCAGG